RNAcentral lists this ribosomal RNA (465 nucleotides) under uncultured bacterium. RNAcentral's name for it is "partial 16S ribosomal RNA". It matches the Rfam family "Bacterial small subunit ribosomal RNA", at positions 28 to 507 of the family's 1533-position model. The record is from RNAcentral.
GACGAACGCUGGCGGCGUGCUUAACACAUGCAAGUCGAACGGAAAGGCCCUGCUUGCCGGGUACUCGAGUGGCGAACGGGUGAGUAACACGUGGGUGAUCUGCCCUGCACUUCGGGAUAAGCCUGGGAAACUGGGUCUAAUACCGGAUAGGAGCCAUUUUUAGUGUGAUGGUUGGAAAGUUUUUUCGGUGUAGGAUGAGCUCGCGGCCUAUCAGCUUGUUGGUGGGGUAAUGGCCUACCAAGGCGGCGACGGGUAGCCGGCCUGAGAGGGUGGACGGCCACACUGGGACUGAGAUACGGCCCAGACUCCUACGGGAGGCAGCAGUGGGGAAUAUUGCACAAUGGGCGCAAGCCUGAUGCAGCGACGCCGCGGGGGGGAUGACGGCCUUCGGGUUGGAAACUCCUUUCGCUAGGGACGAAGCUUUUUGUGACGGUACCUAGAUAAGAAGCACCGGCUAACUACGUG